CUAUGCGCCUUGCCAGCCCGCUCAGGUGUGCCAGCCGCCGCGGUAAUACGUAGGGGCAAGCGUUAUCCGGAUUUACUGGGUGUAAAGGGCGUGUAGCCGGGCUGACAAGUCAGAUGUGAAAUCCGGGGGCUCAACCCCCGAACUGCAUUUGAAACUGUUGGUCUUGAGUAUCGGAGAGGCAGGCGGAAUUCCUAGUGUAGCGGUGAAAUGCGUAGAUAUUAGGAGGAACACCAGUGGCGAAGGCGGCCUGCUGGACGACAACUGACGGUGAGGCGCGAAAGCGUGGGGAGCAAACAGG
RNAcentral lists this ribosomal RNA (298 nucleotides) under uncultured bacterium. RNAcentral describes it as "partial 16S ribosomal RNA". It matches the Rfam family "Bacterial small subunit ribosomal RNA", at positions 475 to 776 of the family's 1533-position model. The record is from RNAcentral.